Molecule: small nuclear RNA, 197 nt
Organism: Solanum verrucosum
Lineage: Eukaryota; Viridiplantae; Streptophyta; Magnoliopsida; Solanales; Solanaceae
Product: U2 spliceosomal RNA
Exons: 1
Source: RefSeq, a predicted model, not a curated record
AUACCUUUCUCGGCCUUUUGGCUAAGAUCAAGUGUAGUAUCUGUUCUUAUCAGUUUAAUAUCUGAUAUGUGCGUCAUCGACUCACACGAUAUUAACUCUAUUUUUUUAAGGGGGGAGGUUCACCACGGUAGCUUGCUAUUGGGGCCUUCAUGAGUCGCCUUGGUGUUGCACUACUGCCUCUGCCUGGCUCACCCCAC